Molecule: ribosomal RNA, 532 nt
Filed under: uncultured bacterium
Lineage: Bacteria
Description: bacterial SSU rRNA
Rfam family: Bacterial small subunit ribosomal RNA
Source: RNAcentral
AAUAGAUACCCAGGUAGUCCAUGCCGUAAACGUUGGGCGCUAGAUGUGGGGACCAUUCCACGGUUUCCGUGUCGCAGCUAACGCAUUAAGCGCCCCGCCUGGGGAGUACGGCCGCAAGGCUAAAACUCAAAGGAAUUGACGGGGGCCCGCACAAGCGGCGGAGCAUGCGGAUUAAUUCGAUGCAACGCGAAGAACCUUACCAAGGCUUGACAUAUACGAGAACGCUCUAGAAAUAGAGAACUCUUUGGACACUCGUAUACAGGUGGUGCAUGGUUGUCGUCAGCUCGUGUCGUGAGAUGUUGGGUUAAGUCCCGCAACGAGCGCAACCCUCGUUCUAUGUUGCCAGCGGUUCGGCCGGGAACUCAUAGGAGACUGCCGGGGUCAACUCGGAGGAAGGUGGGGAUGACGUCAAAUCAUCAUGCCCCUUAUGUCUUGGGCUUCACGCAUGCUACAAUGGCCGGUACAAAGGGCUGCAAUACCGUAAGGUGGAGCGAAUCCCAAAAAGCCGGUCUCAGUUCGGAUUGAGGUCUGC